GCUGUAAACGGUGGGCGUUAGGUGUGGGGACCGGUUUGGUUUCUGUGCCGUAGCUAACGCAUUAAGCGCCCCGCCUGGGGAGUACGGCCGCAAGGCUAAAACUCAAAGGAAUUGACGGGGGCCCGCACAAGCGGCGGAGCAUGUGGAUUAAUUCGAUGCAACGCGAAGAACCUUACCUGGGUUUGACAUGCACCAGACGGUUGCAGAGAUACGUACCUCCCUUUGUGGUUGGUGUGCAGGUGGUGCAUGGUUGUCGUCAGCUCGUGUCGUGAGAUGUUGGGUUAAGUCCCGCAACGAGCGCAACCCUUGUCUUAUGUUGCCAGCACUUUGGGUGGGGACUCAUGAGAGACUGCCGGGGUUAACUCGGAGGAAGGUGGGGAUGACGUCAAAUCAUCAUGCCCUUUAUGCCCAGGGCUUCACACAUGCUACAAUGGUUAGUACAACGCGCUGCGAGCCUGUGAGGGUGAGCGAAUCGCUGAAAGCUAAUCUCAGUUCGGAUUGGGGUCUGCAACUCGACCCCAUGAAGUCGGAG
RNAcentral lists this ribosomal RNA (532 nucleotides) under uncultured bacterium. Its description in RNAcentral is "bacterial SSU rRNA". It matches the Rfam family "Bacterial small subunit ribosomal RNA", at positions 799 to 1331 of the family's 1533-position model. The record is from RNAcentral.